Molecule: long non-coding RNA, 1753 nt
Filed under: Panax ginseng (ginseng)
Lineage: Eukaryota; Viridiplantae; Streptophyta; Magnoliopsida; Apiales; Araliaceae
Description: long non-coding RNA (PGIN_LNC008162)
Source: RNAcentral
UCACUUAUAGAUUUGAAAUUUUUAAUUGAAUAAAGAAAUUAGGGAUGCGAAGGAGAAUUAUGUAAUUACACAAUGAAAGUUUGUAAAUAUAUUGGAGUGUGGAGAUGUAGUGCAAGCAUGAAUCCAACAAAUGACUGAUAACAAUAAUGAAAAGAAAGAGAGCUCAUCGAUAUGUGUGUUCAUUGUCAGCUUUGCAUUAUCCACCACUUAAAAUUAUUUAAUUUAAUUUGAUGAUUCACUUCACAAUCUAACAAUACUGUAAUCAUGCAAAAAUAUUUUGAUUUAUUAUUGUAAUAGCAUGAAAUCUAUUUGUUAUUUAUUAUUAUAAAAUCUUUGAAAAACAAAGCCCUGCUCAUAGUUUUGUAAAAUGAAUCUUUAGAUUAUUUCUUGGCCAAACUGAUGACCAUUCAAUAACUUAUUUGCCUCAGAAUUGAACCCUUUAAUCGAUUUACUUGCAUAUACAUCAGAUAUGCCCAUACAAGAAGGCGGCAUUCAUGUAAUGAUACAACUACUCUGUUUCUUUAAAAUAAGAAAAUUUUAUAUAACUAUUAAAAUUUGCAAUGCAACCAUUAACAAUCCAAAUCCCAUCAAAGCCAAAGCUAAUCAUCACCCUAAAUGACUUUAGAAACCUAAGAACCUCCAGCCAUUUCAUGCUUGCAACAAAACUUCAGCCAACCACAAAAUCAAAGUCAAUCCUCUUUUGCAAAACUUACAAUUGCUUCCGCUGCUACUUACAAUCACUGCCUGAUAACUGAAAAAUUACACGACUUGACGACCAGUAGUAGCACCCUAAGAAAGCUCACGAUCCUACGAAUCUCUAGAAGGAACCACCACGUCGGUAAAAAAAUAAAAAUGACCAGUUAAAAUAAGCAACCUUCACAACUACUAGAUUAAGAAUUACGCAAGGUGAAAGUAGGAAUGUGAAGUCGGUACAAAAUUUGCACCAUACAGACGAGGAAGGAAGAAUACAGAAUAAUCAUCCGAUCAAGUUAUGUCCUAUAUCAAAUAUUCAAAUCUAUAAGAACAGAAACUUGAGUAAUACCAUUUUCCAACAUUUACAGUGACGCAAGUAACCUUAACCUCAAAGGCUAGAUAUCGUUGGACACCUAGACACAGUACUACUCCGCUUAACCAAAAAAUAAGUAGACAAAGCACUGCACUAUAGACUCUGUUCCAUCCACCCUAAGAAUGUUUCUUCUGUAAUAAAAGAACUAGCUAUUGUCAAACUACCUUUGACAGAAUCACUUGAUUUCCUAGAAUGCUUAUGAUAGAAAAUGAAAACUGUAUCACAAUAACAUAGUUUGCUCAAAAAAAGGCAAAGUCGGCUGCUAAACAUGAGCAUAACAGCCAUGGAAGAGCUGCUCCGACCCAGACCAACCCCCACCUCCUCCACCAAAAUAAAUAAAUAUAUAUAUAUAUAGUUUUUUCCCCAUAAAUAAUCUUAUUAGAAGAGAUUUUGAAUUUUCAAGAAAUAGGAAUCUAAUGUUUGUGUUAGAAUCUCUAACGACGAUCUCCCACAUUUAACACACAUUGAAUGACUGAAAGUGGGAUAGAAUUGUCGUUACACAAGGAGUAUUUUGGCCCCAAUUUUAUGAGAAACCUAAAGUUUGAGGCAGAAAACAAGGAUGUCUUUAUUUGGAAAAAGUAUAUGCUCAAUAGUUGGUCCUAAACAUAGUUGGUCUACCGUCCUAAAUCUGAAUAUAAAAUUGUGCUGUCCAUAUAUAAAUCUAGGAUCACAAACUCAUUUCAGNNN